GACGAACGCUGGCGGCGUGCCUAAUACAUGCAAGUCGAACGCUUUUUCUUUCACCGGAGCUUGCUCCACCGAAAGAAAAAGAGUGGCGAACGGGUGAGUAACACGUGGGUAACCUGCCCAUCAGAAGGGGAUAACACUUGGAAACAGGUGCUAAUACCGUAUAACACUAUUUUCCGCAUGGAAGAAAGUUGAAAGGCGCUUUUGCGUCACUGAUGGAUGGACCCGCGGUGCAUUAGCUAGUUGGCGAGGUAACGGCUCACCAAGUCAACGAUGCAUAGCCGACCUGAGAGGGUGAUCGGCCACACUGGGACUGAGACACGGCCCAGACUCCUACGGGAGGCAGCAGUAGGGAAUCUUCGGCAAUGGACGAAAGUCUGACCGAGCAACGCCGCGUGAGUGAAGAAGGUUUUCGGAUCGUAAAACUCUGCUGUUAGAGAAGAACAAGGAUGAGAGUAAAACGUUCAUCCCUUGACGGUAUCUAACCAGAAAGCCACGGCUAACUACGUGCCAGCAGCCGCCGUAA
RNAcentral lists this ribosomal RNA (523 nucleotides) under uncultured bacterium. RNAcentral's name for it is "partial 16S ribosomal RNA". It matches the Rfam family "Bacterial small subunit ribosomal RNA", at positions 28 to 523 of the family's 1533-position model. The record is from RNAcentral.